RNAcentral lists this ribosomal RNA (486 nucleotides) under Arhynchite hayaoi. RNAcentral describes it as "partial 16S rRNA". It matches the Rfam family "Bacterial large subunit ribosomal RNA", at positions 1820 to 2597 of the family's 2925-position model. Lineage: Eukaryota; Metazoa; Annelida; Polychaeta; Echiuroidea; Thalassematidae. The record is from RNAcentral.
UGCCUAUUGACUAAUCUAUUUUAGGUAGCUCCUGCCCAAUGAGUAUCACUUAAAUGGCCGCGGUAACCCGUGCGAAGGUAGCGUAAUCNUUUGCCCCUUAAUUGAGGGCCUGUAUGAAUGGAUUAACGAGAAAGAAACUGUCUCCAUAUAAGCUUAUAAAACCUAUCCUCUAGGUGAAAAGACCUAGAUAACCAUAGAAGACAAAAAGACCCUGUCGCGCUUCACCUUUAAAUAAUUAUUAAAACUAUUAGCUAGAGGUUUGGUUGGGGCGACCCCAGAUACUCCUAAACAUCUCUAUAAAAUAAGGCAAACAAGCCUAAUCAUUUGACCCUUAAAAGAUUUAAGAACAAGUCACCGCAGGGAUAACAGGCUAAUCCCCUCUUAGAGCCCAAAUCGACGAGGGGGGUUGGCACCUCGAUGUUGGCUUAGGGUAUCCUUUAGGCGCAGCAGUCUAAAAAGGAAGGUUUGUUCAACCUAAUACACCCU